GACGAACGCUGGCGGCGUGCUUAACACAUGCAAGUCGAACGGAAAGGCCCUGCUUUUGUGGGGUGCUCGAGUGGCGAACGGGUGAGUAACACGUGAGUAACCUGCCCUUGACUUUGGGAUAACUUCAGGAAACUGGGGCUAAUACCGGAUAGGAGCUCCUGCUGCAUGGUGGGGGUUGGAAAGUUUCGGCGGUUGGGGAUGGACUCGCGGCUUAUCAGCUUGUUGGUGGGGUAGUGGCUUACCAAGGCUUUGACGGGUAGCCGGCCUGAGAGGGUGACCGGCCACAUUGGGACUGAGGUACGGCGCAGACGCCUACGGGAGGCAGCAGUGGGGAAUAUUGCACAAUGGGCGGAAGCCUGAUGCAGCAACGCCGCGUGCGGGAUGACGGCCUUCGGGUUGUAAACCGCUUUCGCCUGUGACGAAGCGUGAGUGACGGUAAUGGGUAAAGAAGCACCGGCUAACUACGUG
RNAcentral lists this ribosomal RNA (468 nucleotides) under uncultured bacterium. RNAcentral's name for it is "partial 16S ribosomal RNA". It matches the Rfam family "Bacterial small subunit ribosomal RNA", at positions 28 to 507 of the family's 1533-position model. The record is from RNAcentral.